UACGUAGGGUCCGAGCGUUGUCCGGAAUUAUUGGGCGUAAAGGGCUCGUAGGCGGUUUGUCGCGUCGGGGAGUGAAAACCUACAGCUUAACUGUGGGCUUGCUUUCGAUACGGGCAGACUUGAGGCAUGCAGGGGAGAACGGAAUUCCUGGUGUAGCGGUGAAAUGCGCAGAUAUCAGGAGGAACACCGGUGGCGAAGGCGGUCUCUGGGCAUGUUCUGACGCUGGAGGAGC
RNAcentral lists this ribosomal RNA (232 nucleotides) under uncultured bacterium. RNAcentral's name for it is "partial 16S ribosomal RNA". It matches the Rfam family "Bacterial small subunit ribosomal RNA", at positions 524 to 754 of the family's 1533-position model. The record is from RNAcentral.